Molecule: ribosomal RNA, 1323 nt
Filed under: Triticum aestivum (bread wheat)
Lineage: Eukaryota; Viridiplantae; Streptophyta; Magnoliopsida; Poales; Poaceae
Description: partial small subunit ribosomal RNA
Source: RNAcentral
AUGACGAGCACGCUGAUGUCGUCGGAGGAGCCCCUGGACACGGCCAUGUCGACGAGCCGGCGGCACGCGGCGGGCAGGUCGCCGGAGGAGGCGGCGGCGGCGUCGACGGCCUCCUGGUUGCCCACCUUGUCCCACAGCCCGUCGGAGGCGAGGAUGAGCAGCUCGCAGUCGGCGCCCAAGUCGACGGUUCUAGUCUCCGGCUCCGCCACCACCCACGGCUUGAGGUGCGCGUCGCCGAUGCCCCGGGUCACCGCCAGCGAGCCCUGCACCCGCCAUACGCCGCGGCAGUUGAGCACCAGCCCGCCUUUCAGCGCCUCGAUCCGGUCCCGCUCGUCCUGCCGCGACGCGCGGUGGUCGUCGGUGAGCGCCUCCGCCCUGCCGCCGCGGCUCAGGACCGCGCGGCAGUCCCCGGCGCCGGACACCACCAGCUGCCGCCCGCCCUCGCGGAGCAGCGCCGUCACGCAGCAGGCGCCCCCGCCCGCCUGCUCCCGGUUCUUGGAGGAGGUGGAGGAGAACUCCUCGUCGGUGCGCAGGUACGCCCGCCGCACGGCGCCCUCCACCGCCGCGCGCCCUGCCCCUCCGCCGCGCGCCGACCUCUCCAGCUCCUCCGCCACGAUCCGUGGCAUGUUCUCCGCGGCGAACUCCGCGGCGCUCUUCCCUCCGUGGCCGUCGAACACGGCGAAGAGGGCCUGCGCGCGGUCCCCGCCGAGCGCGACGGCGGCGACGUGGCGGUCCUCCAUCUCGACCCGCUUCCGGCCCUUCCCCCUCCGGCAGAAGGCCGCGAAGCCGUCGCCCUGCUCCGCCACCUCGUCCACCCCGCUCGCCGCGGCGGCCUCCAGCACCGCCGGCGCGACGGUGACCGCGGCCGGAACUAGCAGAGGCGCCGGGCGCCUGCGCUUGACCGGGGCCUUAGCCGGAGCAACAGAAGAAGAAUCCUCAGCCUUGACGGCGGGCAGCGGCGGGGCGGCGCACGGGGAGGGGUCGGGGUGGAUGCGCGCGCGGAGGUGGGCGAAGGGGCGGAGCGGCGAGGAGGGGAGGAAGGAGGCGCCGCUGCUGGAGCAGCCGUGGUGGUGGUGGUGGUGGAGCUGCUGCUCCAACUGCUGGAGCAGGCCGAGGCGGGACGGCGAGAAGACCGGCGAGCCCGGUGCCACCGCGCACGCCAUGUAUCCUUCCCUUGCUUUCCUCGCUUGCCUUGCUCACUCGCUCUGCCAAGUUGCUCUGCGGCGAGACCGAGAACUCCUAGCUCCUCCUCCUCUUCUUGCUGCUGCUUCGAUGGUGAGCUCUUUUCUUGUUACUCCAUUGAUGGGCUCCUCGUAUAUGUAG